Carassius auratus (goldfish) is the source of this 1253-nucleotide long non-coding RNA. RefSeq lists it as uncharacterized. NCBI's taxonomy places the organism in Eukaryota, Metazoa, Chordata, Actinopteri, Cypriniformes, Cyprinidae. The record is from RefSeq and is a predicted model, not a curated record. The transcript is spliced from 4 exons.
GGGGCGCUCAAAUGAAUGUGAAUUGCUCAGUGUACGAACCCGCACCUCGGUUGAUUGCCCAACCUCCUCCUGUUAGUCGACCGCUGCAGAGAGGAAGCUGGCAGACAGGAAGCACCUCCAGCACUUCUAGUAGUAGCAGUCACAGAUUGAGCAUUCAGAGCACCGUCAGCAACAGCAGUGGGAUGGAAGGUGAAUGUGAGGAGCCUCCGGACAUUCCUCUUCCUCCACUGCCUCUCCGGCCCGCUGUGGAUACUCCACCAGUACUUCCCUCCACCCAGGGGUCCCACGACGUGUAAUAGAGAGGAAUACAGAGAUAAAUGAGCGAUAUGUAUCGACUCCAUCCCGUCCUGUUCAUCAGACGCCUGCGCAACGGCCCAUGCCACCUCCACCAAUACCGAGACGCACAUGGUGAUGGCCUGCUUCAGCACGGCUGGCUUUCGUUUUGUUUGACUCUGCACUUUUCUUGUUGAGCCUGUGAGAUAUGUGAGUCUCUUCAAGGAGGAACAGAAACUAUUGGCUGUGUCCGAAACUGAAGACAGCUCCUUUGCUGCCCUAUCAGUCAGUGACCUUACAGAGGUUUUGCAUGAAGGUGACUCUUAAGGAAACUGGUUUGCCAUUUAUAUUCUUUUUACCAACUGCCAUCUAUUGUAGGUAGAAAACAGGAUAUUAUGCAAACGUCAGAUUCAGAAGUCUUGAAGCUAUCUUAUUUUUCAUAUGCUGCCUGUGGUUUCAGACACAGUCAGUGGAUCAGUAUCCAGUGUUCAACUGUUUUAAUCUAGACUCCACUUGCAAUGCAAACAAUCACCUUAGUUUAUAGGUAUUAAAUUAUAAAUCUUCAGCUGAAGAUAUGCAAUAUGUUUAAGUUUUUUUUUCAUAAAGUCACUUGUUUGCUAUAAAGCCAUUUGUUUUGUGCUCUCUGAGUGCCUUUAGUAGCAAAUAGCAAACUCAAGAAUUUGCCUACAUUUGUUUUUAAUCAGAACAAUACUUUGUGUUGGCUGUGAUCGGUCAUGAGAUGAUGAGAUUUAUUGUUCAAGAGUUUUCUGCGUUUUAAAAAUAUUUAUUGAUGUAUUCACAUAUUAUUGCUGGCUGUAAUAUAUCCCCGAAAGAGAAGCAGGGAAACAGUGUAUUUAACAGCAGAAAAAGUGUGAAUGCAGUGUGAAGAAGGAAGAUGUGUGUUAUGUAUGUAUUUGUUUGUCUGCGUGUUCAUGUUUGUUAGUCCAUGAAGACAAAACUAAUUAAAGUGAUUAAGUAAA